UACAGAGGGGGCAAGCGUUAUUCGGAAUUAUUGGGCGUAAAGGGCGCGUAGGCGGCUUUGCAAGUGACGGGUGAAAGCCCUCGGCUUAACCGAGGAACUGCCUGUCAGACUGUGAGGCUUGAGACCGGGAGAGGUGAGUGGAAUUCCCAGUGUAGCGGUGAAAUGCGUAGAUAUCAGGAGGAACGCCGGAGGCGAAAGCGAGUGACUGGCGCGUUCCUGACGCUGAGGUGCGAAAGCUAGGGGAGCAAACAGG
This 253-nucleotide ribosomal RNA is filed under the name uncultured bacterium. RNAcentral's name for it is "partial 16S ribosomal RNA". It matches the Rfam family "Bacterial small subunit ribosomal RNA", at positions 524 to 776 of the family's 1533-position model. The record is from RNAcentral.